This 71-nucleotide transfer RNA is filed under the name Phytophthora infestans (potato late blight agent). RNAcentral's name for it is "tRNA-Pro". The record is from RNAcentral. Lineage: Eukaryota; Oomycota; Peronosporomycetes; Peronosporales; Peronosporaceae.
GGAGUGGCCUCGUGGUUUAUGAUUCUCGCUUCGGGUGCGAGAGGUCCCGGGCUCGAUUCCCGGUGAGGCCC